RNAcentral lists this small nuclear RNA (106 nucleotides) under Spermophilus dauricus (Daurian ground squirrel). The record is from RNAcentral. Lineage: Eukaryota; Metazoa; Chordata; Mammalia; Rodentia; Sciuridae.
GUGCACUUCUGUAGCAUAUAUGCCAAAAAUUAGAAUGAUAUAGAGAUGAUUAGCACAGCCCCUGUGCAAGGAUGACAUGCAAAUUCACGAAGUGUUCCAUUUUUUA